Molecule: ribosomal RNA, 489 nt
Filed under: uncultured bacterium
Lineage: Bacteria
Description: bacterial SSU rRNA
Rfam family: Bacterial small subunit ribosomal RNA
Source: RNAcentral
AAAGGAAUUGACGGGAGCCCGCACAAGCAGUGGAGUAUGUGGUUUAAUUCGACGCAACGCGAAGAACCUUACCAGAGCUUGACAUCCCGGUGACCGGUUGGGUAAUGCCGACCUUCUCUUCGGAGCACCGGUGACAGGUGGUGCAUGGUUGUCGUCAGCUCGUGUCGUGAGAUGUUGGGUUAAGUCCCGCAACGAGCGCAACCCCUAUGUUCAGUUGCUACGCAAGAGCACUCUGGACAGACUGCCGUUGACAAAACGGAGGAAGGCGGGGAUGACGUCAAAUCAUCAUGCCCCUUACGCCCUGGGCCACACACGUACUACAAUGGCGAAAACAGAGGGAAGCAAAGACGCGAGUCAGAGCAAAUCCCUAAAAGUCGUCCCAGUUCAGACUGCAGGCUGCAACUCGCCUGCACGAAGUUGGAAUUGCUAGUAAUCGCGGAUCAGAAUGCCGCGGUGAAUACGUUCCCGGGCUUUGUACACACCGCCCGU